RNAcentral lists this long non-coding RNA (869 nucleotides) under Homo sapiens (human). RNAcentral's name for it is "non-protein coding lnc-CLCN3-1:2". The record is from RNAcentral. Lineage: Eukaryota; Metazoa; Chordata; Mammalia; Primates; Hominidae.
CCCACCUUCCGGCCUCACUUGAGAUGUGAUCUUCUCUGACCAUCUUAGCUGAAGUUGGCCUCCUCUCCCUUAAUCUCCAUUGAGCUAAACAGUUUCUUUCAUCUAGAACUUACUAUAGUAAUUAUGUGUUUACUAGUUCACUGUCUGGAAUCGUUUACCCUAGAGCAGUCUACGAUGUAAAGCCAGGAUGGUCAAACUACAGCGCAAGCUUUGUUUUUGCAAAGCUCUGGAGCUUCCCUCUCUGCUGGUCACUCAUUCUUCUCUCUCCUGCUGCCAUAUGAAAAAGGACCCGUUUCCUUCCCCUUCUGCCAUGAUUGGACCUGGGAGUGCGACAUGGUGGCCUCAGGGGAAAAGGGCUCUCGUCUAGACCUUCUGACUGUCCUCUGGAUCUUCCUGGUGUCCAUGCGGGGCUGCUGCUCUGGGCUGGCCCCAGGGCCUUUGGCCAGUGUCCAUGAGACCCGGAAUUCCAGCAACCAGUUUGACAACUCCUACAGAGAAACAGGAUCCACAUAAGGAUACAGCUUCUUCAUAUCCCUGUCCCAUGACUUCACCCUGCGUUCUUCAACCAAUCAAUGUGUCAGGCCUCUGAGCCCAGGCCUGCACGUAUACAUCCAGAUGGCAUGAAGUAACUGAGGAAUCACAAAAGAAGUGAAACUGGCCGGUUCCUGCCUUAACUGAUGACAUUACCUUGUGAAAUUCCUUCUCCUGGCUCAUCUGGGCUCAGAAGCUCCUCCACUGAGCACCUUGUGACCCCCCACCCCUGUCCGCCAGAGAGCAACCCCCUUUGACUGUAAUUUUCCACUACCUACCCAAAUCCUGUGAAAUGGCCCCACCCCAUCUCCCUUCACUGACUCUAUUUUCGGACUCCG